Molecule: ribosomal RNA, 252 nt
Filed under: uncultured bacterium
Lineage: Bacteria
Description: partial 16S ribosomal RNA
Rfam family: Bacterial small subunit ribosomal RNA
Source: RNAcentral
UACAGAGGUCUCAAGCGUUGUUCGGAUUCAUUGGGCGUAAAGGGUGCGUAGGCGGCGCGGUAAGUCGGGUGUGAAAUUUCGAGGCUUAACUCGAAACUGCAUUCGAUACUGCCGUGCUCGAGGACUGGAGAGGAGACUGGAAUUUACGGUGUAGCGGUGAAAUGCGUAGAUAUCGUAAGGAAGACCAGUGGCGAAGGCGGGUCUCUGGACAGUUCCUGACGCUGAGGCACGAAGGCCAGGGGAGCAAACGGG